RNAcentral lists this ribosomal RNA (424 nucleotides) under Verrucomicrobiota bacterium. RNAcentral's name for it is "Verrucomicrobia bacterium partial 16S ribosomal RNA". It matches the Rfam family "Bacterial small subunit ribosomal RNA", at positions 355 to 776 of the family's 1533-position model. Lineage: Bacteria; Pseudomonadati; Verrucomicrobiota. The record is from RNAcentral.
UGAGGAAUAUUGGUCAAUGGACGCAAGUCUGAACCAGCCAAGUAGCGUGCAGGAUGACGGCCCUAUGGGUUGUAAACUGCUUUUAUAUGGGGAUAAAGUGGGGAACGUGUUCCCUUUUGCAGGUACCAUAUGAAUAAGGACCGGCUAAUUCCGUGCCAGCAGCCGCGGUAAUACGGAAGGUUCGGGCGUUAUCCGGAUUUAUUGAGUUUAAAGGGAGCGUAGGCCGUUUGGUAAGCGUGUUGUGAAAUGUAGGAGCUCAACUUCUAGAUUGCAGCGCGAACUGUCAGACUUGAGUGCGCACAACGUAGGCGGGAUUCAUGGUGUAGCGGUGAAAUGCUUAGAUAUCAUGAAGAACUCCGAUUGCGAAGGCAGCUUACGGGAGCGCAACUGACGCUGAAGCUCGAAGGUGCGGGUAUCGAACAGG